This 378-nucleotide unclassified non-coding RNA is filed under the name plant metagenome. RNAcentral describes it as "partial contains 5.8S ribosomal RNA, internal transcribed spacer 2, and large subunit ribosomal RNA". The stretch from base 1 to 105 matches the Rfam family "5.8S ribosomal RNA", at positions 50 to 154 of the family's 154-position model. The record is from RNAcentral.
GAAAUGCGAUAAGUAAUGUGAAUUGCAGAAUUCAGUGAAUCAUCGAAUCUUUGAACGCACCUUUCGCUCCUUGGUAUUCCUUGGAGCAUGCCUGUUUGAGUAUCAUGAAAUCUUCAAAGUAAAUCUUUUGUUAACUCAAUUGGUUUCUACUUUGGUAUUGGAGGUCUUUGCAGCUUCACACCUGCUCCUCUUUGUUCAUUAGCUGGAUCUCAGUGUUAUGCUUGGUUCCACUCGGCGUGAUAAGUUAUCUAUCGCUGAGGACACUGUAAAAGGUGGCCAAGGUAAAUGCAGAUGAACCGCUUCUAAUAGUCCAUUGACUUGGACAAUACUUUUAUGAUCUGAUCACAAAUCAGGUAGGACUACCCGCUGAACUUAAGC